GGGCUCGUAGCUCAGCUGGUCAGAGCGCACGCCUGAUAAGCGUGAGGUCGGUGGUUCGAGUCCACCCGAGCCCA
Molecule: transfer RNA, 74 nt
Filed under: Thermotoga neapolitana
Lineage: Bacteria; Thermotogati; Thermotogota; Thermotogae; Thermotogales; Thermotogaceae
Also listed under: 2 other names
Description: transfer RNA-Ile
Rfam family: tRNA
About the family: Transfer RNA (tRNA) molecules are approximately 80 nucleotides in length. Their secondary structure includes four short double-helical elements and three loops (D, anti-codon, and T loops).
Source: RNAcentral